UGGGCGGGGAGCCGCCGGGCCGGGUGGCGAUCGGCCGGGAGCCGGUGGGCCUGGAGCCGCCGGGCUGGGUGGGUACGGCUCCCGCCGGUCGG
Molecule: transfer RNA, 92 nt
Filed under: Streptomyces zaomyceticus
Lineage: Bacteria; Bacillati; Actinomycetota; Actinomycetes; Kitasatosporales; Streptomycetaceae
Description: tRNA-Pro
Source: RNAcentral